RNAcentral lists this RNase P RNA (403 nucleotides) under Phaeodactylibacter sp. RNAcentral's name for it is "partial RNase P RNA component class A". It matches the Rfam family "Bacterial RNase P class A", at positions 1 to 286 of the family's 367-position model. From Rfam's summary of the family: Ribonuclease P (RNase P) is a ubiquitous endoribonuclease, found in archaea, bacteria and eukarya as well as chloroplasts and mitochondria. Lineage: Bacteria; Pseudomonadati; Bacteroidota; Saprospiria; Saprospirales; Haliscomenobacteraceae. The record is from RNAcentral.
GCUGCGGGCUGCUCUAUCGCGGCCCUGAAGUAGAGUGCUUGCGCUCCCACUUCAGGGAUGAGGAAAGUCCGGACAACGUAGAGCACCACGCCACCUAACGGGUGGGCCGCGGCCGUUAGCGCCGCGGACAGAAAGUGCCACAGAAAGCUAGACUGCCGACGCCUUGGCGAAGAGCGGAAACGGGCUUUGCCCGCCGAAGCUUAAGCGAAGGCGGGCGAGGGUGAAAACGUGCGGUAAGAGCGCACGCUCCGCCGUAGCAAUACGGAGGAGGGGUAAACCUCGUGGGUUGAAAUGCCGCGUACACCACGAUUCUUAACUGAAGCAGGCUCUUGCUCUGCUUUGGGUAAAGAGGCGGGUUGCUCGCCUGCCUGGAAACAGUCGUGGGGGGUAGGCAGAUGGACCC